Chlorocebus sabaeus (green monkey) is the source of this 87-nucleotide microRNA precursor. It matches the Rfam family "mir-6134 microRNA precursor family". Lineage: Eukaryota; Metazoa; Chordata; Mammalia; Primates; Cercopithecidae. The record is from Rfam.
UCAGUAGGGAACUGACCCUCUAUUUCUACCUGCAUUAAUGAAGCUGAAUGAGGUGGUAGGAUGUAGAGUUAGUUGACACUCUGCUUC